GUCUGUAUGCUCAAAGCAGUCCUGAAGUGCAGAGGAGGCCUCCUCAGUCCAGACCUGAACUAUUCUGGUGGUCGGCUUAGUUCUGCAGGCCAGAGGCUUGUAGACAGGAAUCAGCUCCACUGAGAUGUGGUCAGACAUGCCCAGAUAUGCUCAACUCCGAUA
Molecule: long non-coding RNA, 162 nt
Organism: Xiphophorus couchianus (Monterrey platyfish)
Lineage: Eukaryota; Metazoa; Chordata; Actinopteri; Cyprinodontiformes; Poeciliidae
Exons: 3
Source: RefSeq, a predicted model, not a curated record